This is a long non-coding RNA of Callithrix jacchus (white-tufted-ear marmoset), 2356 nucleotides long. RefSeq lists it as uncharacterized. The record is from RefSeq and is a predicted model, not a curated record. Lineage: Eukaryota; Metazoa; Chordata; Mammalia; Primates; Cebidae.
AUAGAGUGGGUGAUGAAACCUCGAAGGUGCCCACGCAGGGCUCUCAGGCAGGGCAAAACUCUAGAAGAGGAAAGAGCCGUGUGUGGGUCCCCUCGGCGGCCUCCUUGUCAGCAAAUCAGAGGCCAUCUUACAAGCUCGUUGUUAUUUUUCUGAGCCCAGCAGCCCCUGGCAUUUUCCAUAAUGCCGAUGAUGCAGCAAUCUGAUUAGCUGCUCUGUGGAAUAAGACGUCCAUGUCCAGAAGCACGUGUCUUCUGUAGCAUUCGUCCAUGUAGUCACGUCUCCUUGAAUGAGUCAGCUAUUUCUUCCUGAACAUGGCAGCAGUUUGUACGUCCAGGUGGCACAGUGUCCCUGCUUGCGUCUUACAUCUCCUGACCCGGGUUGAAAGGUUGAGGUUUGGAAGCACAUGCAUAUUUCAUUGGAUUCUCCUAAGAAUCAAAUGGGAGAGUGUAAAGGGCCAGCACAUAAUGAGGACUCCACCAAGGUCCAUGCACUCCUUCCCUCAGCUGUGCCCUCGGCAAUUCCAUCCGAGGCCUUCCUGCUUCAUUGCUAAAUGUGGGAAGCAGAAAGUCCUUUUUAAAGUUUGCUUUCUUGUUAAGGAAUAAGUGUGCUAAUAACUUUGUUAAGCCCUAUCCUCUGUAGCUGUUAGAUAUGCUGUGCUUACAGGCACGUAGUACAUUCUGUGUCCUUGUACUUUAACCAAGAUGUCUGUGCUGGACAUGCUCACAGGCAUGGCCCAGCUCUCCAUUGCUUUUACCUGUUUAGAAAAGUUUUAAGUUGUUAGCCAAUCGGGUUUUAGUUUAGAUUGUGAGGUCUGGCUCUAGCCAAUGGAGAUCAGAUGCAGCAGUAAGGAUGACCCCAAAUGCGUAAGGGAUAAAGUUGUGUGUUUUCCUUUGUUCUUUGUACUCUCUUGGCAAGAUGGCUACCGAGGGUCCCCUUCCUGCAUUCCAGGAAGUAAAAAUUGAGUUGCUGAAAGAUCCAUUGUCUCAGUGCUAAUUCUUCUUUGCAGCACUGAGCAUCUAUUUCAAACAUCUAUUUCCAAGAUUGCUGUGAAUUUUCCAUGCCACCUUUCAUAGGGCAUCCCAAGCCCUCCAUCCAUCAGUGGAGAAAUCACGACAUGCUGUCUUUAAAAUAAGGAUGGCUCUAGGUAUGCUGCAGGGCCGUUGUAUGGUCCAGAGAACAGACCAGCUUUUGAUCACCUUGGCUUCUAAGGUCAGUGCACACCUAUGGGAGGGCUGGGGAAACUGCAGCCCUGCUCCUGGAAUGACGGACCAGACCAUGCUGAUGCUGGGUCUCAGAAAUGUGGCCCAUGCCGGUGUCAGCUGCCUGCAGGGAGGACUGAAUCCUGCCUUCUGCAGCUCACCAGGGGAUGUGCUGUGCACUUUUGGCUGCUAAACAUAUUUUGCUUCACGUCCUGAUCCUUCUCAUCAUCUCUUUCCUCCCGUACAUUUUGAGCAUACCUUUGUGCUUUUCUUCCUUGACAUGGCUUCCCUGCUUGGUGUCCUCCCUUGCCCUGUGUCAGUGUGGAACUUGUGUGGGCCAGCUGAGCUGUGUGCAUUCUCCAUACCCACACUGCUGAGAAUUUCUGGAGAAUCCCCCCACCCCCGUGUGGAUUAGUAUCACUAUAUGUUCCUGGCUUCCCUGGGCCCUCAGCGAUGCCUGCAGUGUUUCUAAGAUUCCUGCAGGGAACAACCUUCCCCUUUGCCCCAGCGACCUUCAAACCCGCUUGAUCUCUGCAAUUUGUGUGCCUUUAAAUGUGAGAGAGAAAGCUAGGAACCAACAAAGGCAACCCCAUCAAGGGCACUGAAGAGACAGCAGGGAAGAAAUCCGGACAAGAAAAGACCAUUCCCUGUCCUCCUGCAGCGUUUCCUCUAGUGGAAGGAGACAGGGAAUAAAUAAAGAGGGAAAAUGUGGCAUAUAUACACCACGGAAUGCUGUUCGGCCAUGAAAAGGAAGGAAAGAAUGUCUUUUGCAGCAACUUGGAUGGAGCUGGAGACCGUUAUGCUAAGUGAGGUAACUCGGGAAUGGAAAACCAAAUGUCUCACUUUUUAGUGGGAGCUAAAGCUGUGAGGACACAAUGAGAAUGGUACAAUGGACUCUGGGCACUCGGGGAAAUGGGGGAGUGGGCUGAGGGAUAAAAGACUCCACACUGAGUACAGCAUAUACUGCUCAGGUGACAGGGGCACCAAAAUCUUAGGAAUCACCACUAAAGAACUUAUCCAAGUAACCAAAAAACCACCUGCACCCCAAAAACUAUUGAAAUUAAAAAAAUUAUAAAAAGAGGUAAAUGACAUUGUAUGUAAAUGGCAAAGUGUUGUGGACAAGACUAAGACGUGAGAUGGGAGGCAGGGAGCCCGGC